Molecule: ribosomal RNA, 856 nt
Filed under: uncultured fungus
Lineage: Eukaryota; Fungi
Description: SSU rRNA
Rfam family: Eukaryotic small subunit ribosomal RNA
Source: RNAcentral
GUGCCAGCAGCCUUGGUAAUUCCAGCUCCAAUAGCGUAUAUUAAAGUUGUUGUGGUUAAAAAGCUCGUAGUUGAACCUUGGGCCUGGCUGGCCGGUCCGCCUCACCGCGUGCACUGGUCCGGCCGGGCCUUUCCCUCUGUGGAACCCCAUACCCUUCACUGGGCGUGGCGGGGAAACAGGACAUUUACUUUGAAAAAAUUAGAGUGCUCCAGGCAGGCCUAUGCUCGAAUACAUUAGCAUGGAAUAAUAAAAUAGGACGCGCGGUUCUAUUUUGUUGGUUUAUAGGACCGCCGUAAUGAUUAAUAGGGACAGUCGGGGGCAUCAGUAUUCAACUGUCAGAGGUGAAAUUCUUGGAUCAGUUGAAGACUAACUACUGCGAAAGCAUUUGCCAAGGAUGUUUUCAUUAAUCAGGAACGAAAGUUAGGGGAUCGAAGACGAUCAGAUACCGUCGUAGUCUUAACCAUAAACUAUGCCGACUAGGGAUCGGACGGUGUUAUUCAUGACCCGUUCGGCACCUUACGAGAAAUCAAAAGUGCUUGGGCUCCAGGGGGAGUAUGGUCGCAAGGCUGAAACUUAAAGAAAAUUGACGGGAAGGCACCACCAGGGGUGGAGGCUUGCGGGCUUAAUUUUGACUCUACACGGGGAAACUCACCCAGGUCCAGACCCAAUAAGGAUUGACAGAUUGAGAGCUCUUUCUUUGAUUUUGUGUGUGGUGGGGCAUGGGCCGUGCUUAGUUGGUGGGGUGACUAGUCUGCUUUAUUGCCGAUAACGAAAGAGGACCUUAAACCUGCUAAAUAGCCCCCAUUGUUCGGCAGGGGGGCUUGCCUUCUUUUAAGGGACUUUCUGGUUCAAGGCC